Molecule: long non-coding RNA, 453 nt
Organism: Pan troglodytes (chimpanzee)
Lineage: Eukaryota; Metazoa; Chordata; Mammalia; Primates; Hominidae
Exons: 3
Source: RefSeq, a predicted model, not a curated record
UUUUUUUAGGGACAUAGCCAGCUGAGAUAUUCAACACUUAAUGGAAAAUAACUUCGGAGUUUUGAUAUGAGAUUCACUGAAGAGCUAAAGGUCCUAUGGACAUUAUUGUUACAGUACUACUCAUACCCAGAUCUCUUUCAUCAUGAUCACCAGCAUCCAUGUCACGAGGACCCUUGACCAUCCUGAGGCCAGCAUCCGUGUCAUGAGGACCUUUGAGCAUCCCGUAGAGUGGUUCAUGUGGCAAAGAGCCAAGGCCUACCAGCAAGCAAGUGAGGUGAUGGAUGCACUGUGAUGUGGACUCAAAGUGGGCCCAGACAGCCUUAAUGACUGAGAUGUAAAGAGCUUGCCUUGCAAAUGAGAUGUUUAUCUGCAAGUUAUUAUUAAAUGGUGUCUAUGUAGCUGGGAGUAAGUGAAGAUUUGGUAAUUUGUCCUUAGUUUAGUAAGUGUAUAUUC